Molecule: ribosomal RNA, 253 nt
Filed under: uncultured bacterium
Lineage: Bacteria
Description: partial 16S ribosomal RNA
Rfam family: Bacterial small subunit ribosomal RNA
Source: RNAcentral
UACGAAGGGGGCUAGCGUUGUUCGGAUUUACUGGGCGUAAAGCGCACGUAGGCGGGUCGUUAAGUCGAGGGUGAAAUCCUGGAGCUCAGCUCCAGAACUGCCUUCGAUACUGGCGACCUAGAGUCCGGAAGAGGUGAGUGGAACUCCUAGUGUAGAGGUGGAAUUCGUAGAUAUUAGGAAGAACACCAAUGGCGAAAGCAGCUUUCUGGGACGGUACUGACGCUGAGACGCGAAAGCGUGGGGAGCGAACAGG